ACUGAUUAUUCAAGCUGUUAACCUGGUCAAAGGCAGCUUACCAUCUACAGCUACAGCUUGUUAAAAGAGUACCCCCGCCGUGGCUGAAAUUAUCUAUGCCUUCCUUAUUCACCUCGAAGGCCAGCAAACCUACACAGCAACUGUAGAAGCCAUGUGAAGGGAAGGCUGAGACAACCAACCAAGGUGCACAGGGAACCUGGGCCUGGCUUCCAGCUGGGAUACAACUGUAGAAAGCCUCCCAUGUCAAGCAACUGCUAGGAAGAAGAAAUCUCUUUCAGUGUCUGCAGAUGUUACUGUUAUGGACUAACUGGGAAGUAACAAGUUAACCUGACCCCAAGUCUACACAUCUCAAGGAACGUCUAUACAACAAAAACAGUACUUGGUCUCUCCAACACAGACCUCCGAAAGUUUUUCAAUGGUAAAUUCACAGGUUUGUUUGGUGCCUUUCUGUGGGAGCAUCACCUGUCAAUAAAGACCUAAUGGCCGAUAA
Molecule: long non-coding RNA, 490 nt
Organism: Mastomys coucha (southern multimammate mouse)
Lineage: Eukaryota; Metazoa; Chordata; Mammalia; Rodentia; Muridae
Exons: 2
Source: RefSeq, a predicted model, not a curated record